ACGGGUGAGUAAUGCGUAGGAAUCUGCCCUAAAGUGGGGGAUAACCCGAGGAAACUCGGGCUAAUACCGCAUAAUCUCUGAGGAGCAAAGUUGGGGACCUUCGGGCCUGAUGCUUUGGGAUGAGCCUACGUCGGAUUAGCUAGUUGGUGGGGUAAAGGCCUACCAAGGCAACGAUCCGUAGCUGGUCUGAGAGGAUGAUCAGCCACACUGGGACUGAGACACGGCCCAGACUCCUACGGGAGGCAGCAGUGGGGAAUAUUGGACAAUGGGCGAAAGCCUGAUCCAGCAAUGCCGCGUGUGUGAAGAAGGCCUUCGGGUUGUAAAGCACUUUUAGCGAGGAGGAAAGGCUUAGAGUUAAUACCUCUAAGAGUUGACGUUACUCGCAGAAAAAGCACCGGCAAACUCUGUGCCAGCAGCCGCGGUAAUACAGAGGGUGCAAGCGUUAAUCGGAAUUACUGGGCGUAAAGCGCGCGUAGGCGGAUAUUUAAGUCGAGUGUGAAAUCCCCGGGCUCAACCUGGGAACUGCAUUCGAUACUGAGUGUCUAGAGUAUGAUAGAGGAAAGUGGAAUUCCCGGUGUA
Molecule: ribosomal RNA, 579 nt
Filed under: uncultured bacterium
Lineage: Bacteria
Description: bacterial SSU rRNA
Rfam family: Bacterial small subunit ribosomal RNA
Source: RNAcentral